UGGGGAAUAUUGCACAAUGGGCGAAAGCCUGAUGCAGCGACGCCGCGUGCGGGAUGAAGGCCUUCGGGUUGUAAACCGCUUUUGAUUGGGAGCAAGCGAGAGUGAGUGUACCUUUCGAAUAAGCACCGGCUAACUACGUGCCAGCAGCCGCGGUAAUACGUAGGGUGCAAGCGUUAUCCGGAAUUAUUGGGCGUAAAGAGCUCGUAGGCGGUUUGUCGCGUCUGGUGUGAAAGUCCAUCGCUUAACGGUGGAUCUGCGCCGGGUACGGGCAGGCUAGAGUGCGACAGGGGAGACUGGAAUUCCCGGUGUAACGGUGGGAUGUGUAGAUAUCGGGAAGAACACCAAUGGCGAAGGCAGGUCUCUGGGUCGUCACUGACGCUGAGGAGCGAAAAGCGUGGGGAGCGAACAGGAUUAGAUACCCUGGUAGUCCACGCCGUAAAACGGUGGAUGCUGGAUGUGGGGCCCAUUCCACGGGUUCCGUGUCGGAGCUAACGCGUUAAGCAUCCCGCCUGGGGAGUACGGCCGCAAGGCUAAAAACUCU
Molecule: ribosomal RNA, 541 nt
Filed under: uncultured bacterium
Lineage: Bacteria
Description: partial 16S ribosomal RNA
Rfam family: Bacterial small subunit ribosomal RNA
Source: RNAcentral